Molecule: ribosomal RNA, 624 nt
Filed under: Pseudomonas chlororaphis
Lineage: Bacteria; Pseudomonadati; Pseudomonadota; Gammaproteobacteria; Pseudomonadales; Pseudomonadaceae
Description: bacterial SSU rRNA
Rfam family: Bacterial small subunit ribosomal RNA
Source: RNAcentral
UACAGACAAGCUUGCUUCUCUUGACAGCGGCGCGACGGGUGAGUAAUGCCUAUGAAUCUGCCUGGUAAUGGGGGAUCAACGUUCGGAAUCGUGUACGGCUGACAUACGACAUUCACUCGCUGACCGGAGAAUCACCGGGACCUUCGGGCCUUGCGCUAUCAUAUGAGCCGAGGUCGGAUUACCUAGAUGGUGAGGUAGUGGCUCAUCCACAGGACGACGAUGCUCGUAACUGGUCUGACAGGAUGAUCCGUCACGCUGGAACUGAGACACGGUCCACACUCCUACGGGAGGCACCGUGUGGGGAAUAUUGGACUAGGGGGCGAAAGCCUGAUCGUGCCAUGCCGCGUGUGUGAAGAAGGUCUUCGGAUUGUAAAGCACUUUAAGUUGGGAGGAAGGGUACUUACCUAAUACGUGAGUAUUUUGACGUUACCGACAGAAUAAGCACCGGCUAACUCUGUGCCAGCAGCCGCGGUAAUACAGAGGGUGCAAGCGUUAAUCGGAAUUACUGGGCGUAAAGCGCGCGUAGGUGGUUCGUUAAGUUGGAUGUGAAAUCCCCGGGCUCACCUGGGAACUGCAUCCAAACUGGCGAGCUAGAGUAUGGUAGAGGGUGGUGGAAUUUCCUGU